UAGCAAUACCGAAGAAAGUCUAGUGGCGAACGGGUGCGUAACACGUGGGCAAUCUGCCUUAAAGUGGGGGAUAGCUCGGCGAAAGCCGGAUUAAUACCGCAUGUGAUUACCGGAGACAUCUUCGGAACAUCAAAGUCGGGGCAACCUGACGCUUUUUGAGGAGCCCGCGGCCUAUCAGCUAGUUGGUGAGGUAACGGCUCACCAAGGCUUUGACGGGUAGCUGGUCUGAGAGGACGACCAGUCACACUGGAACUGAGACACGGUCCAGACACCUACGGGUGGCAGCAGUCGAGAAUUUUUCUCAAUGGGGGAAACCCUGAAGGAGCGACGCCGCGUGGAGGAUGAAGGUCUUCGGGUUGUAAACUCCUGUCAUUUGGGAACAAUGCUUACGUAUUAACUGUACGUGAGUUGAUAGUACCAGAAGAGGAAGAGACGGCUAACUCUGUGCCAGCAGCCGCGGUAAUACAGAGGUCUCAAGCGUUGUUCGGAUUCAUUGGGCGUAAAGGGUGUGUAGGUGGCGCGCUAAGUCGGGUGUGAAAUUUCGGAGCUUAACUCCGAGACUGCAUUCGAUACUGGCGUGCUUGAGGACUGGAGAGGAGACUGGAAUUCACGGUGUAGCA
RNAcentral lists this ribosomal RNA (620 nucleotides) under uncultured Verrucomicrobiota bacterium. Its description in RNAcentral is "bacterial SSU rRNA". It matches the Rfam family "Bacterial small subunit ribosomal RNA", at positions 77 to 680 of the family's 1533-position model. Lineage: Bacteria; Pseudomonadati; Verrucomicrobiota. The record is from RNAcentral.